UACUAAUACGUUCUCUAAGUGUGGUGGUAGUUUUGCCCACAUAGUUUAGGCCACAGGGACAUGUAAUGAUAUCAACCACAAAAGUUGAAGUAGCUUAGUCUGUGGUUAAUUUUAUGUCUUUUGCAGAAUGGGGUGAGGAAAUUCCGGUCCACUGAGCAAGCAACUACAAGUUGUGCAAUCAGCACUCCAUUUUUUAUGUUUAGACAACCAGUUAGAGGGAACAGAGGUGUCAAAUAGAGGACAUCGUGGACAGGCUGGUUUUUGGAAGGGCUGUUCGGGUGAAAAGUUCCUGUCUGGAAUUCCAAAUUUUAAAUUGAAGUUAAUGACAUGGAGAUCAGCCAAUCGAUAAUCGCCACAUCAUCAGUCCUGCCCCCAACGUCACUGGUCUGCCCCCAACGUCAUUGACUGCCCUCCCAACGUCACUGACCUGCCCCCAAUGUCACUGGCCCAGCCCCCAAUGUCAUCUGCCCUGCUCCCUGCCCAGUUUCCAGGAACUAAAAAGAUGGCAACCCUAGGUGCAACAGAUACACAAUAAUUCAGUUGUAUUGCCAUAUGUGAUACAGACUGCGAUCUAAAAAUGUCACAACUUGCAACCGUUUCAUAAAAAUUAAUAUGUGCAAUCACAAGUGUUGAAACCGGGGGGGGGGGGGGGCAAGGGGACCAUGCCCCGCCCCCAGAAUUCCCACCCGGUUUUGUAAACUGCAGGCAUGUCAUAUUUUUUUGUCUUUCCCACUUUUUUUGUCUGGACCGGUGAUGGCCAUUGUCAGGUCUGGACUGGGAGUCAAAACAGCUCCUGGCAUUCCAAGUACAGCAUGGCCUAAAUAGUCCCCCCUCACCAGCCCAAUAAAUAGUGACUGUCUAUGGCGUCUUACAGCAGCCCCUCUGGCAUUUGCCAGAACUUACAGUUUGCCAGUCCGGGUCUGGCAAUUGUCAUUAUAUCACUUCACUUAAAACAUGAAUAUGAAAUGUGGAAUGUAGUUCCAGGGACAAAGAAGUCAGGGAACAGGAAGCAGGCUGAACAGAUCUGUGUCUCGUUGUGCUGAUUGCAAAAGAUAUAAAGCUUUAUUUUGGCUUUAUAUCUUUUGCAAAGUGAUGUAGGGAAAUGUGUCUGAUUCAUAAAUUAGGCUUUUUAUCUCAAGGAUACAUAUUCUUUAUUUUUACUACCCAAAUCUCUAGCCGGUUCAUACUGUUUCUGUUUUACUUAUUUUGUGACUGUAGCAUCCCUCUGUUAGAAUGUGUGUCUAUUCAAAUUAAACUGUGGGUUUUGGAGAGUUUCUGGACUAUGUAUAAGCCUUUUUAAAUAAGAUUAUUGCCAUUUCAUGAGCUAUAGGAAGUCAGAAAGUGUACCAGCUAACCUCAUUAGAACUUAAUUAAUGCCACAUAAUUUCAUUUUAAUGUUUCUGUUGAUGAAUAUACUGCAGUGUUAUUUAAGUCACAAUGAAAACAUCUUGGCUAUCCAGCAAAUUUCCAAUUUCUUGCCUUGAAGUUAGGUUAGAUGUAAUGUAUUGUUUCCCUACAUCCCAGCAUGAACCUUAAAAGACCUCAGAAAAAUCAGAAUACAUUUCUUGUAGCUAUAAUGAGCUCAUUUUCCUGUAAUUUAGCCUCUUUUUAAAACUCAAUUAAUUUCUCACUUAGAAAUGAACAGCUAUUUAGAGAUCUGAGAUUGAGAAGCUGAGGUCCAGAUCUAUUUGAACAAUGGCUACAUAAACUUCAACUUGGUUAUUAUGUCAAGCAAUUCUAAUUUCAUUCUACCUGUCUCUUGAUCACCUUGCUUCAUAAUAUUAUAAUCAUCUAAGUUCUGGUGUUGCCAUUUGUUUUUGUAUUUAAUACUUUAAAAACUACCUUGUGCUUCGCAGAUUUGAGUACCAUCACACUGGUAUUCUUAGGUUUCCGUUAUUAAAUAAAGUUUUUGAAAACCUA
Molecule: long non-coding RNA, 1920 nt
Organism: Xenopus laevis (African clawed frog)
Lineage: Eukaryota; Metazoa; Chordata; Amphibia; Anura; Pipidae
Exons: 2
Source: RefSeq, a predicted model, not a curated record